RNAcentral lists this ribosomal RNA (671 nucleotides) under uncultured bacterium. RNAcentral describes it as "bacterial SSU rRNA". It matches the Rfam family "Bacterial small subunit ribosomal RNA", at positions 100 to 789 of the family's 1533-position model. The record is from RNAcentral.
GACGGGUGAGUAACGCGUGGGUAACCUGCCUCCUUCAGGGGGAUAACAGUUGGAAACGACUGCUAAUACCGCAUAAGCGCACAGGAUCGCAUGGUCCGGUGUGAAAAACUCCGGUGGUAUGGGAUGGACCCGCGUCUGAUUAGCCAGUUGGCAGGGUAACGGCCUACCAAAGCGACGAUCAGUAGCCGACCUGAGAGGGUGACCGGCCACAUUGGGACUGAGACACGGCCCAAACUCCUACGGGAGGCAGCAGUGGGGAAUAUUGCACAAUGGGGGAAACCCUGAUGCAGCGACGCCGCGUGAGCGAAGAAGUAUUUCGGUAUGUAAAGCUCUAUCAGCAGGGAAGAAGAAUGACGGUACCUGACUAAGAAGCACCGGCUAAAUACGUGCCAGCAGCCGCGGUAAUACGUAUGGUGCAAGCGUUAUCCGGAUUUACUGGGUGUAAAGGGAGCGCAGGCGGUGCGGCAAGUCUGAUGUGAAAGCCCGGGGCUCAACCCCGGUACUGCAUUGGAAACUGUCGUACUAGAGUGUCGGAGGGGUAAGUGGAAUUCCUAGUGUAGCGGUGAAAUGCGUAGAUAUUAGGAGGAACACCAGUGGCGAAGGCGGCUUACUGGACGAUAACUGACGCUGAGGCUCGAAAGCGUGGGGAGCAAACAGGAUUAGAUACCCUG